GGUCAUUAGAUGNAAGUAAAAGUCGUANCCAGGNUUCAGUAGGUGAACCUGCGAAGGAUCAUUA
RNAcentral lists this ribosomal RNA (64 nucleotides) under Inocybe tjallingiorum. Its description in RNAcentral is "partial 18S ribosomal RNA". The record is from RNAcentral. Lineage: Eukaryota; Fungi; Basidiomycota; Agaricomycetes; Agaricales; Inocybaceae.